AGUCUCUCCCUGCUCCCAACACUCUCAGCCAUCCGAGGGGAGGGGGUACUAUAUUAGGGGGGUCUGCGCUGUAUAGGGAGGGCUGUCUGCGCAGUAUAUGGGGGGUCUGCGCUGUAUAUGGGGGGCUGUGCAGUAUAUUGUGGGGUCUGUGAAGUAUAUUGGGGUGGCCUGUGUGUUAAAUGUGGGGGGCAGUGUAUUAUAUUUGGGGGCUGUGCAUUAGAUGGUGAGCUGUACGGUACGUGUGGCCUGUGUGUUAUAUGUGUACAACCCUAGUUUCACAAAAAAAUAUUUAUUUCCUAGAUAUCAUAUGCCAUGGCAUGCUUUUUGCUAUGAAACCGCAGCCAUCUAGUCACUCGCCAGAGAAGGAUGAGAAACUGCACCCCAGCGAGAGGGACAGCCCCACAUCUGCAACCAAAUCCGUCGGUCACCGAAUUCAGUAAUCUCCGUCUCUUUGUGCAUUGUGCAUUGUGUAUGUAUGGUACUCCCAAUUCUUAUAUUUAAUCCGGUGUGUCUCCCACAAUCUUUGUGUCUGUCUGCUGUAUGUAUGUGGCACGCAAGUCUGCUUGCACUGUGUCUGUUAUGCCAGUUACUCUAACCAGUUUAUUUCUUUUUGUGUGUGUCACAACUCUGACAAGCAUGUUCUCCUAUGGGACACGAAGUACAUGAAGAGGAAUGAAGAAGCCCAUGUUUGAUGCUGGUCUCCAGGGUGGAGUAUUGAAUUUAUAACUAAUGAAGUGGCAUCUGACACAUGACAAGCUGCUCCUGUUUGCUCAACAACUUCAACAUUGUGUACUUUGAUCACAGCAUACUUCAGAGGUAGGUAACCUUGUGCAGUCCAGAUGCUGUGAAUUACAUCUCCCAUAAUGCUGGCAAACCAUUAUGGGAGGUGUAGUGCAAAACAUCUGGAAUACCGAAUGCGGAUGAAUGCAAAGUAUGGUGUGUGUGAAUGGUCAGUAACAAGGGUUGAAGCCUUGACGUGGCGUUACUGCUCACAUGUGUAUUCAUGUGCCAAUUCAACCAAUGUGAGUCACUGUAAUACUUAUAAGGUAACCAAAAGUACUGUGAUUGUGGAGAAUGAAACGCCUGUAUCACCUACACACCGUUUACACUGUGACCAUAUCUCCUAAACACUGCUUACACUGUGACCGUAUUUCCUAAACACUGCUCACACUGUGACCGUAUCUCCUAAACACUGCUGACACUGUGACUGUAUCUCCUAUACACUGCUGACACUGUGACCGUAUCUCCUAAACACUGCUGACACUGUGACCGUAUCUCCUAUACACUGCUGACACUGUGACCGUAUCUCCUAAACACUGCUUACACUGUGACCGUAUCUCCUAAACACUGCUCAUACUGUGACCGUAUCUCCUAAACACUGCUCACACUGUAAGCACAGACAUGCUUUUAUUCAAAAUUGAAAGCGCUCGAUCAUUCUUUCUAUUUUACGCCUCCAAUCUUCAACAUUGAAAUUGUCAUUUCUAAUAAUAUAAAAUAAGUAAUAUGCUUUCUGGUUACGAUUUGGUGGGUUGUAACUAAAUUUUUUAUUUUUACAGUUCCACAGGGAAGGAGGAAACCGCUUUGAGUCCCUGCAUAAGAGACUAUUGGAUACUGAAAAAUAGCAGUUGACUUUGUGUAUAAG
This is a non-coding RNA of Pelobates cultripes (western spadefoot toad), 1642 nucleotides long. NCBI's taxonomy places the organism in Eukaryota, Metazoa, Chordata, Amphibia, Anura, Pelobatidae. The record is from the annotation of a GenBank genome assembly.